Ctenopharyngodon idella (grass carp) is the source of this 1873-nucleotide long non-coding RNA. RefSeq lists it as uncharacterized. Lineage: Eukaryota; Metazoa; Chordata; Actinopteri; Cypriniformes; Xenocyprididae. The transcript has 5 exons. The record is from RefSeq and is a predicted model, not a curated record.
GUCAUCGACAUAGAACGCAAACAAAAUGGCGCUGCCCAUUGUCCAAAUAUGUAAUGGAUUUUUUUAAUAACGUAAAUCUUUCAUGGGUUUUCUACUACAUAUUUCAGUAAGAGACAUCAUUUACAUUAUAUUAAGCCAUACAAGUCUUAACACCAGGGGUUCCCUUUAAGCUUUUGUGAGCGUUAGUUCGCUUUUGAAGCAUCGGUUUGCCCGGAGGCGCGGGGUGACUGUUCGAGAACGCGGGCACUGCUGAGAAGACGGAGAUGUUAUUUUCCGCCUGAUUAAUCAAAACGUUUGCGCCUGUGUCGAGAAAAAGCAACACGAGAAGACGGAUAAACUAUUGUUCGGCUGAGAAUACGGCUGAAUCAACUUAUAACUCCAUUAUUUACGCUCUUUGACAUAUACCCUGAACAUGGCUCAAGAACCAGGAAGGGGGGAAAAUGACCUUCUGUGAAAUAUGGUUUUGUUAAUGCACUUUGACACCAAUAACGAACAUGGCUCAAGAAACAAGAAGGGAAAGUGACUUCCAAGACUGGCAACACUGUGCAAAAAAAGGAGCAGUACUGAAAAACUUAUGACACUCAAAUCUAUCUUCCGGUCAAGAAAAAUAACUCCACUGCGAUCACUUCUCUUCUCCAAUGUUUGGAGGAGGUUAAAUUAUGGCUAGCCCAAAAUUUCCUCUUCUUAAACGAGGACAAGACCGAGGUAAUUGUUUUCAGUCCAAAUGAGAACUCUCAGUGUAUAAGCCCUGAGCUAGAAAGUUUAUCCGUUUUUAGAUCCUCACGGGUGCAGAACCUAGGUGUUAUUAUUGACCAGCAUUUAAAAUUUGAUAGACAUAUCUCCUCUGUUAUUGGAUCCAGUUUUUACCAGCUUCGUUUACUGUCUAAAAUUAAAAACUUUCUCUCUCCAAAAACUUUAGAAAUGGCUGUUCAUGCGUUUGUUACGUCGUGUCUAGAUUACUGCAAUUCUUUAUAUUGCGGUAUAUCUAAAUCUCAAAUUGCGCGACUUCAGCUUGUCCAAAAUGCUGCAGCUAGACUUCUUUUAAAGUGUCGUAAACAUGAACACAUAACUCCAAUUCUUAGAUCCCUUCACUGGUUGCCGAUUUGUCAGAGAAUAGACUUUAAAAUUCUCCUUUACGUUUAUAAAUCCCUACAUAACAAAGCUCCUGUCUGUUUAUCUGAACUUCUUCAUCCUUAUACUCCAUCUAGAAGCCUACGAUCCUGUGACUUGGCCUUGUUGGUGGUUUCUCGCGCUAGACUAAAGCAUUUGCGGUGGCAGGGCCUCGACUCUGGAAUACCCUGCCCUUAGAGAUUAGACUGGCCCCUUCCUUGUCUACCUUUAAGUCCUUGCUAAAAACUUUUUUAUUUUCCUUAGUGUAUUGACUACUGUGAUAUGUUACAUUUUUAAAUGGGUGGUUUUAAAUUUUUCUCUGAUUUAUUUUCCAUGUAUGUGUAAUAUUCUUGCUCUUCUGUAAAGCACUUUGGUCAGCCUGGGGGCUGUUGUAAAUGUGCUAUACAAAUAAAAUUGAAAUUGAAAUGGAAAUAACAUAAUAACAAAAGUAUAGUUUUAAUUAUUUAAUGACAAAUAUAAGUGCAGUAUGAAAAGCUGUAUAAAUGCAGUUAAUAGCUGUAGAUAAACAGUAUAAUACUGUAAAAGUACAUAAUAUUACAGCAGGAUACUGUAUUUGGUAAUUACAGUACUAUACUGUAAAUGUUGUUUACAGAAGUAGUACUGUAAAAAUACAGUAAGUGGCUGGCAACCCAGCUGCCAGUAUUUUACUGUAAAUUUACAAUGAAAAGUUUUACAGUGUUCCUCUUUAUAUGGAUUUUAUAUUUUUAUAAAAACACAAAUUUGUCCUUUUCAUUUUCCAAUU